Molecule: long non-coding RNA, 626 nt
Organism: Lemur catta (Ring-tailed lemur)
Lineage: Eukaryota; Metazoa; Chordata; Mammalia; Primates; Lemuridae
Exons: 3
Source: RefSeq, a predicted model, not a curated record
AGGAAGAAACAAGCUCCAGGGCUGGAAGUUCGUCUCUAGGGGAGGAAGUUCCCUGGAGUCUGCGGCAGAUGGGGGAGGCCCCAGUGGGGCGCACGUGGAUGCAUUUCUGGGAGGAAACCAUGUACCAUCCGCUCUCGCUCGCUGCCAUCCAGUGUUUUCUUCCCCCACUGCUGGCAUGGAGCUGAGCACUGCAGGGGAGAAUUCAGGCCUCGGGUUUCUCAACUGGAAAAUGGGAAUUUUAAAAAAUCCAUGCCUAACCCCCAAGGCUGUGCCGAGAACCAAUUAAGGCAAAAGCUGUGAAAGCACUUUCCAAAUGAGGAAGCCUCUUGUCCUUCACCUCCUUCUGAUGGCAGAUCCCCAGCCUCCUUCCCGAGGUUCCUGCCCUCCCCGCGCCAUAUGCACAUGAUCACUGAUUCCAAGAUGGGAUCCUGAGGACUGCAGAUGCCUUCCCACCUUCCUGUCAUGAAGAACCGUGGCACGUCACCAUUUAAAACCCAAACAAAGACUCAUGAGUGAACAAACUAAACAGAGGCAGAAUAAUGCAGUGACUAAGAGCUCUGGCAAGAGAGAAAAAUCAAGUUUCCAAAUUCCAGUUCUUCCACUUACUACCAGUGUUAACUUUGAAU